Molecule: long non-coding RNA, 449 nt
Organism: Antechinus flavipes (yellow-footed antechinus)
Lineage: Eukaryota; Metazoa; Chordata; Mammalia; Dasyuromorphia; Dasyuridae
Exons: 2
Source: RefSeq, a predicted model, not a curated record
GUCCCCACUGCUCACCUGGCACUUGGCAUCUACUGUUCUAUGUGAGUCAUGCACCCAGGCUGCUGGAAAAGAAGCUGGUCUUAUAGAUGGAAUGUUUUAAAUUGGAUUUCAGGACGAACUUCUUAAUUUUUGAGAUGAUUAAAUGAGAGAAUGAGUGAAGAACAGCAAACAGGCUAGCUCAGCCAAAUUUCCCAGAAUACUGAAGGAACCAAAGCAUAAGAAGCCUAGAAAGAUGGUGGAACUGAAAACUGAGGAAGUUCCAGUCCACUGGGUGAAUCCUAUAUGGAGCAUUUAUGGAAAGACACAAAACAGAAUCAGAAAGCACUGGAAUAUUAAAAUCUAUCUUAGUGAAAGAAGUUCCCACCAAUGAGAUCACAUUGAAGUCUUAAUCUCCAGCUGUUUUGUGUUUAUUGGUCUUAACCUGCUAAUUAAACUGACAACUCCUCAAA